GCCUCGUUAGCGCAGUAGCCAGCGCGUCAGUCUCAUAAUCUGAAAGUCGUGAGGUCGAUCCUCACACGAGGCA
RNAcentral lists this transfer RNA (73 nucleotides) under Saccoglossus kowalevskii. Its description in RNAcentral is "tRNA-Met". It matches the Rfam family "tRNA". From Rfam's summary of the family: Transfer RNA (tRNA) molecules are approximately 80 nucleotides in length. The record is from RNAcentral. Lineage: Eukaryota; Metazoa; Hemichordata; Enteropneusta; Harrimaniidae.